GGUAAAAUGGCUGAGAAUUAGGCAGUAAACUGUAAAUUUAUUUAGGAAAUAUUAUUUCUUUUACCA
Molecule: transfer RNA, 66 nt
Filed under: Broscus cephalotes
Lineage: Eukaryota; Metazoa; Arthropoda; Insecta; Coleoptera; Carabidae
Description: tRNA-Tyr
Source: RNAcentral